This 491-nucleotide ribosomal RNA is filed under the name uncultured bacterium. RNAcentral describes it as "partial 16S ribosomal RNA". It matches the Rfam family "Bacterial small subunit ribosomal RNA", at positions 29 to 506 of the family's 1533-position model. The record is from RNAcentral.
AGUGAACGCUGGCGGUAGGCCUAACACAUGCAAGUCGAACGGCAGCACAGUAAGAGCUUGCUCUUACGGGUGGCGAGUGGCGGACGGGUGAGGAAUACAUCGGAAUCUACUUUUUCGUGGGGGAUAACGUAGGGAAACUUACGCUAAUACCGCAUACGACCUACGGGUGAAAGCAGGGGAUCUUCGGACCUUGCGCGAUUGAAUGAGCCGAUGUCGGAUUAGCUAGUUGGCGGGGUAAAGGCCCACCAAGGCGACGAACCGUAGCUGGUCUGAGAGGAUGAUAAGCACCCCUGGAACUGAGAAACGGUCCAGACUCGUACGGGAGGCAGCAGUGGGAAAUAUUGGAAAAUGGGCGCAAGCCUGAUCCAGCCAUACCGCGUGGGUGAAGAAGGCCUUCGGGUUGUAAAGCCCUUUUGUUGGGAAAGAAAAGCAGCAGGUUAAUACCCCGCUGUUCUGACGGUACCAAAAGAAUAAGCACCGGCUAACUUCGU